GACGAACGCUGGCGGCGUGCUUAACACAUGCAAGUCGAACGGAAAGGCCCUGCUUUUGUGGGGUUCUCGAGUGGCGAACGGGUGAGUAACACGUGAGUAACCUGCCCUUGACUUUGGGAUAACUUCAGGAAACUGGGGCUAAUACCGGAUAGGAGCUCCUGCUGCAGGGUGGGGGUUGGAAAUUUUCGGCGGUUGGGGAUGGACUCGCGGCUUAUCAGCUUGUUGGUGGGGUAGUGGCUUACCAAGGCUUUGACGGGUAGCCGGCCUGAGAGGGUGACCGGCCACAUUGGGACUGAGGUACGGCCCAGACUCCUACGGGAGGCAGCAGUGGGGAAUAUUGCACAAUGGGCGGAAGCCUGAUGCAGCAACGCCGCGUGCGGGAUGACGGCCUUCGGGUUGUAAACCGCUUUCGCCUGUGACGAAGCGUGAGUGACGGUAAUGGGUAAAGAAGCACCGGCUAACUACGUG
Molecule: ribosomal RNA, 468 nt
Filed under: uncultured bacterium
Lineage: Bacteria
Description: partial 16S ribosomal RNA
Rfam family: Bacterial small subunit ribosomal RNA
Source: RNAcentral